UUGACCUCGGAUCAGGUAGGGAUACCCGCUGAACUUAAGCAUAUCAAUAAGCGGAGGAAAAGAAACCAACAGGGAUUGCCUCAGUAACUGCGAGUGAAGCGGCAAAAGCUCAAAUUUGAAAUCUGGCGUCUCUGACGUCCGAAUUGUAAUUUGGAGAGGCAACUUCGGUGAUGGCGCCGUCCUAAGUUCCUUGGAACAGGAUGACACAGAGGGUGAGAUCCCCGUACCUGGGUGGCUGUCCAUCGCCAUGUGAAGUGUCUUCGACGAGUCGAGUUGUUUGGGAAUGCAGCUCAAAAUGGGUGGUAAAUUUCAUCUAAAGCUAAAUAUUGGCGAGAGACCGAUAGCGCACAAGUAGAGUGAUCGAAAGAUGAAAAGCACUUUGAAAAGAGAGUUAAAAAGUACGUGAAAUUGUUGAAAGGGAAGCGCUUGAGACCAGACUCGAUUCGUGGUGAUCAGCUGUGCUUCUGUGCAGUGCACUUGCCAUGGAUUGGGCCAGCAUCGGUUCCGACGGUGGGAUAAAAGGUUAAGGAAUGUAGCUUCCUUCGGGGAGUGUUAUAGCCUCAGCCAUAAUGCCACCAGUUGGGACCGAGGACCGCGCUCCGGCUAGGAUGCUGGCGUAAUGGUCUUAAGCGACCCGUCUUGAACCACGGACCA
This 654-nucleotide ribosomal RNA is filed under the name uncultured fungus. RNAcentral's name for it is "eukaryotic LSU rRNA". It matches the Rfam family "Eukaryotic large subunit ribosomal RNA", at positions 1 to 668 of the family's 3401-position model. Lineage: Eukaryota; Fungi. The record is from RNAcentral.